UACGUAGGCAGUGAGCGUUGUUCGGAGUUACUGGGCGUAAAGGGUGUGUAGGCGGUUUUCUAAGUUUGGUGUGAAAUCUCCCGGCUCAACCGGGAGGGUGCGCCGAAAACUGGGAGACUAGAGUGCGGGAUGGGAGAGUAGAAUUCCUGGUGUAGCGGUGAAAUGCGUAGAUAUCAGGAGGAAUACCGGUGGUGUAGACGGCUCUCUGGACCGCCACUGACGCUGAGACACGAAAGCGUGGGUAGCAAACAGG
Molecule: ribosomal RNA, 253 nt
Filed under: uncultured bacterium
Lineage: Bacteria
Description: partial 16S ribosomal RNA
Rfam family: Bacterial small subunit ribosomal RNA
Source: RNAcentral